CUUUCCAUGGUUCCCAAAUUUUUUAAACAAAAAAAGUAAAACAAAAAUUAGAAAAAACACAAACAAUUUCCUAGUUCAUUACUCCACCGAAGAAAGAGAGAGGAGAGAGACUGAGAGCGUUUACAAAGUUAGGGUUUCGAAGGAUCGAAGGAUUUGAUCUGCAAUUCACAAUUUGGUCCGAACCAAUCGAAUUUUUUGCAAGUUCUAGCCAUUGGUUGCGAAAAUUCUCUCUCACGUCCCUGAAUCGAGUCACAGGGUUGAAUUGGGGAAACUUACGAGGGUAAUCGAACAACUUACGAGUAAUGGUGUAGGGGGCCAAUGCUGUGAUUCCAACAUGGGGUGAAAAGAGAACAGAGUCAAAGUUGAAAAAUCAUGUUGAGCUUGUUGAGCUUUUGGGGAUAGUAGAUACAAAGAAAGGCUCUAAUGUUGCUGGGGCUAGAGGUUUUUACUUGAAAGGCGAUGGUGUGCUUCUAAAUCAAGCUCUUUGAAGAGCUUAGAUAGGAAUAAAUUGCUUUUGUAUUUAUGAGAUCUGGUGGGGAAGAGAUCAGAGCCAUUCAGAGGAGGAGGAGGAGAACUCAGCGGGCUAUAUAUGGAAGGGUAUUUCAUAUAUAGAGAUAUUGAAUCUAACUGUGCAACCCUCCACAGUCUCUACCAAGCAAAAACCAUUAACGAGUUGGCUACCUUCUGAUCCAGCUCAUAGUAAACUUCCAUUUUAUUUAGGGGUUUCAUAUCAAGGUCGAUGAAAAAUGCCUGCAAGAGUGCGUAGAUCACAACUCAGAAGGAACUUAGGGAAGAUAAUUGAAUACAGUGAACUCCUAUUGUGCAGUCACCCAACUUAUUUUAGCUAAUCUGCUAAAGAAGAACGAGAAAUUUACAGGGAGAGUGUAUGGGUCUUUCCCCUAAUUAACAUGCAAUUGAUGCAGGUGACAAACAAAAGACUGAAUGAGUCGCCCCUCACCUUCAUGUGUGAUAUAUGCUUUGCGUCGUUGUUAGUAUCACUACUUCUCAUCCACCAAAGGGGUUGCUGAGAUAACGAAAAGCCCAAAUUAAGAGAUUUGUUGGGAGAGCUUUUCUCCUAGUCGGGUGCAGAUUACUCAAGUCUAAUAGGCUUUUGAUUACAAGUACCCUACAGAAUGACUUCUUACUAGGAGCAUGGUGAGCUAUAUGGAGGAGAAAUGUAGAUCUAGCAAUAUGAGACGGUGGGGGCUCUUGUUUGUUUUUGGGUCAUUUUGUGAUUUCUAGUAAUGUUGAAUUUCUUUCUAUGGAUUUAAAUUUUAUGUAACUUUUUCAUUAAAAACACUAAAUUAAUUAGUGAGCAACUAUUUUGUACAUGUGUCCUAUGGGAACUAAUAAUGUAAUAUUACUCUUUAAGUCAAUGACAAUCUUUUGUUAUUGA
This is a long non-coding RNA of Spinacia oleracea (spinach), 1396 nucleotides long. RefSeq lists it as uncharacterized. Lineage: Eukaryota; Viridiplantae; Streptophyta; Magnoliopsida; Caryophyllales; Amaranthaceae. The transcript has 8 exons. The record is from RefSeq and is a predicted model, not a curated record.